This 241-nucleotide ribosomal RNA is filed under the name uncultured Variovorax sp. RNAcentral's name for it is "partial 16S ribosomal RNA". It matches the Rfam family "Bacterial small subunit ribosomal RNA", at positions 1145 to 1382 of the family's 1533-position model. The record is from RNAcentral. Lineage: Bacteria; Pseudomonadati; Pseudomonadota; Betaproteobacteria; Burkholderiales; Comamonadaceae.
CUGGCCCGGGUGGACAAAACCCGGAGGAAAGGUGGGGAUGACGUCAAGUCCUCAUGGCCCUUAUAGGUGGGGCUACACACGUCAUACAAUGGCUGGUACAAAGGGUUGCCAACCCGCGAGGGGGAGCUAAUCCCAUAAAACCAGUCGUAGUCCGGAUCGCAGUCUGCAACUCGACUGCGUGAAGUCGGAAUCGCUAGUAAUCGUGGAUCAGAAUGUCACGGUGAAUACGUUCCCGGGUCUU